Manis pentadactyla (Chinese pangolin) is the source of this 2912-nucleotide long non-coding RNA. RefSeq lists it as uncharacterized. The record is from RefSeq and is a predicted model, not a curated record. NCBI's taxonomy places the organism in Eukaryota, Metazoa, Chordata, Mammalia, Pholidota, Manidae. The transcript has 4 exons.
GGCGGAGGCAGAGACGCUAGUGCUCAACCUACCGCCAGGAGAACAAGCAGGGUAAUAAACCCUUUCACCCCAAAGAAUGUUUUGCUGUCAAUUUCUUUUGUCACAUUGAAUUCAUAGCGAACUUGCCCAGGGCUGAAACCCAUUGGCAAGACACUUAGUUAAUUCACAAAUGUCCAUAUUUUAAACUGCCAGUAAAAAGCCCUUGUCUUUCUAGGAAUGUUUCGUCUCAAACUAAAGUUAUCCCGCCUGUGCAGGGGCUGCAUGAGGCUGAGCAGAGCGGUGUUUGUUCCACUUCUGGGAUGUGGCUGAACUAUAUAGUUGAUCAGUUUUAUGAAAGUGUGUUCAGCAAAUGCUAAUGGAGUUGCUAUAAUGAGCCAUGUACUCUACUCUUUGAGCUGUAGGGAUUCAGCAAUUAGCAAAACAGGGUCCCUUCCCUCUUGGCCUUAAAGUAAUCCUGAACGACGGUGCUCUUUGCCGGAAAAGAAUCAGAAAUUCCCUGAAUGUUCUGAGGACCUUAAAGAAUAAUUUAGGAAAAGAACCUUUUUUAUUUUAUUUUUCAUGUGUUGUAGUGACAUGCUUUUCCAUACUACACCCAGCUUGACAUUAGCAAACCUGAAAAGAAGACAAUCUCAGAAAGAUACUUUUUGUUAUAUUUAGCAUUUAUUUAUGCUACAGAUCGUUAGGUGUAACCCUCAUACACUACUUCCCCUGACAUUUUUCACAAAAGGAGCCCCUUUGGCAAAAUGCACGGUGCCUGGAGGGAUGUCUCUGGCCUGGAAUCCCCCUGCCCUGCACUGGGUCAGCCCUCGGGCUGGCCCCUCUGUAUGCAAAGUUCUUCCCUGCAUGUCUUCUGCUGGGCAAGUUAUACCUUCCUGGCCAUUUGCAGAGUCAGCCCUUUGGUGCGUGCUUUUUCUUCCAUCUGUGGCCUAUCCUUUAAGACUGAGGAUGUUACAGCCAUGCGAAGACCAACCCCUCCUUGAAAUCCCUGCUCAGACAUGCAUUAUUUCAGGAUUCCCUCUCCAGGAAUCCGUCUCUGAGGUGGAGCUCACCUCCCCUCUGUCCCACGGCUCACUGUUUAGAACUUCCCAUAGGCUGUCUUGAAUUAGGGCUCUUUGUGUAUAUGUCUGCUUCUUCCCCUAAAGCAUGAGAUUCUGGUGGACUACAGCUGUAUUUUAAUCAUUUUUAUAUUUCCCAGAGUGCCUAGCACAGUGAGUUACACAGAGUAGUCACUUAAUAAAUGCUCACUGAGUUGAAAAGUAUAAAAUAAUGUACUGUCAGUGUGAUCCUUUAUAACUGACUUGAAAAGAUGGAGAAGGGAAAAUACUGGGUCAAGUUGAAGCAUACUUAUUUGUGCAAUAUACUGUAUUUAGACAUGAAGAUUGUUCAAUAUAUUUGUUCCAAGUUUCUUAUGGAAUAUUCCUUCAAUCCACAGGUAUACUGUAUAUUGGAAUGCUGGAGUGAAUUACACAUGAGGCACCCUGUCUACAGCGUGUGGAAUUUACAGAAUUGCCUGGACUUUGCAGGACCACCAAAAUGACGGGAGUAAAACCCAUCACACUUUUUUCGAAAGCCGCGGGAGAGGAAUGACAUACCAAAAGCUACAAGAAGCCGGAUGAGAAAGUAACAUACUUCCGGCAGCGUGUUAUCAAUGGGGAGGCAACAGUGCAUUCAGUCUUUCCGUCCCAGUGGAACAGUGAGCUGGAACCAACACUGACAGAUGACACGGCCCUUCCACAGUGAUGCCUGUGUGAGCUGACAGCUCCACUGGCAGUCAGUCAAGUUCAUGCUUUGUGGUGGAAUUUUAACAGGCUUGAUUUGCAGAAUAUGCUCUGCCUACUUCUCAGCUUGUAGGAGCAAUGAAUAAAAAUUUCAAAGCAUUCACAUUAAAUUGUAGAUUCUAGGGUCUGUUACCCAACUUUCAUUUCCCCUCAAAGUUAAGAGUAAUAACAGUAAAUAAAAUUUUAAAGAAAAAAAAACUAGGAUAUCUAGGAAAGGAAUGAUUCUUCCCUUAAAAUGAGAUUUUCUAUAAAUCAAAGCAGGUCACAUAUUAGUCAAAAUUUCUCAAGAAGACAAUACGCCAAAUUUCUGAAGGAAAGGUUCUAGUCUAUAUAAACACAAGAAAUUAUUAAGAUAAUGAUACUUAACAAGGAGCUUCCCACAUCAUUGAUGCCGGGGUUCUUGUUUGCAGAGCCGAAGAAUGAGCUUCACAGUCAAGUCACAUUUCAACUCUCUAAGGGUUUGGUAAGUGUGAGGAAGUCCCAGAAUGGCAGGAGAGAUGCUACAGGGAAGGAGAACGGACCCUGAGCAUCUUUCAGGAAUCAGCUCCUGCAACCCGGGCAUCAGCAGCCCCUCCCAAGCGGAGCUGGAACAAGUAGCAUGCAGUUAAAAGAAAACAAACCUUCUCCCAUCCUCAUUGGAUUUCUGUUCUUUUGUAUCUCUGUGCGUCUAGUACAAAGGAAGUCAGUAAAUACUCACGGAUUAACUGUUAUAAGCUUACAAAGAAUCCGCCUCCCAUUGUAUCAGCCCUCGAUCCAUACCACCCAUGGGAUGUGAAUUACCCUGUGAAGUUGAUUCGAUUAAUAUGCCUCCUCAUUGAAUCCUAUGAAAACUGCCUGCAUGUUAUGUUCUCCCCACUUCAUGUCUCCUCUUUUGCCAGCCGUGCAUCUAAGUCGCCUCUCACCUGUCCCACCCUCCUUUCCUGCUCUCUAAAGCCUUCAGGUGUGUGGUGUUGGUCACGUGCUGUGGGAUAUAAAUAACUGAGAAACAUUCAUGUCUGUGGUGGCAGAGAAGUUGCAGCCACCUCUUUUCCUGGAAACCUGCCUCUGGUGUGACAGUAUACUACAGCAGUUUGAAAAAUUUUCACAAAACAUUUCUGAGUGAAGCAGGGAGAGGAGAUGGGGAAGCUAAGAGAC